RNAcentral lists this ribosomal RNA (253 nucleotides) under uncultured bacterium. Its description in RNAcentral is "partial 16S ribosomal RNA". It matches the Rfam family "Bacterial small subunit ribosomal RNA", at positions 524 to 776 of the family's 1533-position model. The record is from RNAcentral.
UACGUAGGUGGCGAGCGUUGUCCGGAAUUACUGGGUGUAAAGGGCGAGUAGGCGGACUUACAAGUCAGUAGUGAAAUGCACAGGCUUAACCUGUGAGCUGCUAUUGAAACUGUAGGCCUUGAGUGCAGGAGAGGAAAGCGGAAUUCCUAGUGUAGCGGUGAAAUGCGUAGAUAUUAGGAGGAACACCAGUGGCGAAGGCAGCCCGCUGGGACGUUACUGACGCUGAGACGCGAAAGCGUGGGGAGCAAACAGG